CUCAUUUCCAAAUAGAACCUUGACUGAAUUCUUGCUAUGAAAAGUUCAUCAAGUCUAGUGAAUGAGGCAAGUAACAGAUGAGGAAACUUAAGGCUGGACACUUUGAUGGAGGGAAGAUAGGACUGAUUUUGUAAUUCAAUAGAUGCCCAAACUUUAGAUCUCUUGGUGCAAAAACAGGAGAGCUGAUGGAUUUGGUAUCUCAGUUUCAAGAAGUGAAUGGAAGACUGCA
Molecule: long non-coding RNA, 229 nt
Organism: Bos indicus x Bos taurus (hybrid cattle)
Lineage: Eukaryota; Metazoa; Chordata; Mammalia; Artiodactyla; Bovidae
Source: Ensembl